Molecule: long non-coding RNA, 2020 nt
Filed under: Apteryx owenii (little spotted kiwi)
Lineage: Eukaryota; Metazoa; Chordata; Aves; Apterygiformes; Apterygidae
Description: lncRNA (ENSAOWG00000015615.1)
Source: RNAcentral
CAGCCUACUUUUUUUAUCUUCUAAAAACAUUCUAGAAGCUGAGAGUAAUAAUUCUAAGAGCUGGAAGCUUUUGUUUAUGGUGAAACCAAUUCGCAGUCUCAGCAGCUUAAAAAAAUAUUUUUACCUGUGUAUUUAUCUGCCCUCCAUCGCUCUAACCGGCUUUCAAGAAUUUGCAGCUUCAUCCUCAUAAAACCUUUGCAAGAUGGAGGGAUGCACCUUCUCCAUCAGACUGAGGAACAAGGAUCAAAACUAAAAGCUUCAAACUUCAAUUCUUUCCUCUAGUUAGGUUCAAAAUCUGUGCUUGUUGCUUAAGGGGAAGUGGUUUGAGAUAUAUAUAUAUAUAUUUUUUUUUUUUUUCCCCUCCUUACCCCCCAGAUAUUUACUCCCAUUAACUUCACUGAGAGCGAUUGGUAUUAAGUGCCUUUGAAAAUCAAACUGGAGUUAUAACAUAUACCCAGUAUACCUAAAUGAGAGUAAGGUGGCUUUCCAAUGAUUUUUUUUCUUUAGUAAUUCUAGUGGAUUUGUGGAUUUUCUUGCUUUACUAAUAUUACAGUGAAUAAGGUGAAAUUUUCAUCUGUUUUGCCUUAAACAGAGCAUUCAGUUUUGCUAGAAGACCAAAGAGAUUCUCAGGUGUUUGUUGUCACUAUGGAAACUUAAAUAUUACUACCGAAAAAAUCAUGACCGCAUCUUAAAUAUAUUCUGAAGUGGUAACUUCAGCAAUGCGUUUAAACGAGUGUUAAGUUUCAAGCGGCCUGAAGAUGCUUUUCCUCGAUAAGCUCACCUUUCCGAUUACAGCGCAGGUGAGGACAGCUCAAGGGGCAGCCUUCCUCGGACCGAACGCCUCGCGAGGAGUUCACUCUUUACCUUCGGAGCGCUUGUAGGGCUGGAAGCAUUGCGUUCCCUAUUCCAGAAGAGACUGAAGCCAGCAAUCAAGCCUGCACGUGUUUGCUCUUCGGUGGCUGCUUGUGUUGACCUGAGUCCAGGAUUGUGUUUGCACAACCGGAGAUGUUGCAGUCAGAUGAAAAGAGGCUCCCAAUACUGUCCAGGGCUGCGAUAUCAGCAGUUAUUGCAUGGGAGACUCUGAAGCCUGAAUUUGGGUCUUGGCAGGUGAGUGAAGGACAAAUGGAUGUCAACUACAGAUAAACUCAGUCUGAACUCCGAUUAGCAGCACUUUGAUGUUCUCUGUCCUCCUUUUCAGUGGCCUAUUUGGAUAAUGGGCAUUUACACAACUUUAUUUUUAAAACAGGUAUUUCACUCUGGCAGUUCAGAAAUUGGCAGGCUUGAGUUUUAUUUCAGCGCCACUAGAUUUGCUCAGCAACUGUAGGCAAGUCACCAGUUUGUCCCUGAGCACCAGUUGUAAGGCAUUACUUAAAAACUUGUGUUCGGUCUUUUGAGCUCUCCAGUCAGCAGAGAUUAGGUCCUUGCAGCAGCCUGACCCCUUCUCUGAUGUCUGUGACACCUCUGAUGAUUAAGUGAGAAAUGCUGGCUUUAACUUUUCAGGCAAGCAGUGGUCUGCAAGCUUGUGUAUGUCUCUAUUUUCUUCAUUUGGUAGUAGGAAACUGAUUCCAAAACAUCCAUUUGAAUGUUAAAAAAAAGCUUUAUAUUUUUUGAAUGUGUCCUUCAUCUUGCUCUUCAUCUGCCUAUGUUUCCAAAGUCUUGAAGCAAGGCUAGUGCAACUUAGUUUUAAAAUGCAGGCAAAGGCUUCGCCUGAUCUUCUUUGGACCUGUGCUUCCAGGCAAGGCCUCUCGGCCUUGGAUGGACUAUUCAUUUAACCUGGGAACUUGUUCCUGGUUAUGGCUGCUGGAUUUUCUUGUGUCCGGUAAAUGAAGGUUUGGACUCGCCACGGUCUCUGAAAUGCUGAGAUUUUAGGAGUCUAGUGGACAUAAAGCUCUCUCGACAGUGUAUGGGAAGCUGCAGAUAUCUCAAGAUAAGAUCUGUCUUGCUGAAUGUAGCUGCUUUUCUUAUCCAAAUCAUCAAUGCUGUCUACAGUCAAGAAUAAAAUGAGUCUCUGAUUAAAACA